This 332-nucleotide unclassified non-coding RNA is filed under the name soil metagenome. RNAcentral's name for it is "partial contains 5.8S ribosomal RNA, internal transcribed spacer 2, and large subunit ribosomal RNA". The stretch from base 1 to 120 matches the Rfam family "5.8S ribosomal RNA", at positions 35 to 154 of the family's 154-position model. The record is from RNAcentral.
GAUGAAGAACGUAGCAAAAUGCGAUAAGUAAUGUGAAUUGCAGAAUUCAGUGAAUCAUCGAAUCUUUGAACGCACAUUGCGCCCGCCAGUAUUCUGGCGGGCAUGCCUGUUCGAGCGUCAUUUCAACCCUCAAGCACAGCUUGGUGUUGGGACUCGCGUUAAUUCGCGUUCCCCAAAUUGAUUGGCGGUCACGUCGAGCUUCCAUAGCGUAGUUGUAAAACCCUCGUUACUGGUAAUCGUCGCGGCCACGCCGUUAAACCCCAACUUCUGAAUGUUGACCUCGGAUCAGGUAGGAAUACCCGCUGAACUUAAGCAUAUCAAUAAGCGGAGGA